Molecule: microRNA precursor, 124 nt
Filed under: Trichobilharzia regenti
Lineage: Eukaryota; Metazoa; Platyhelminthes; Trematoda; Strigeidida; Schistosomatidae
Description: MIR7504 microRNA precursor family
Rfam family: MIR7504 microRNA precursor family
Source: Rfam by way of RNAcentral
AAUGAAUGAAAAACAAAACGAGAUUGUUUAUACUGACGUUUCGCUAUUUAAUACUUUGAGAAAGCUAUUAGCAUUAAAUAGCGAAACGUCAGUAUAAACAAUCUCGUUUUGUUUUUCAUUCAUU